This 454-nucleotide ribosomal RNA is filed under the name uncultured bacterium. RNAcentral describes it as "partial 16S ribosomal RNA". It matches the Rfam family "Bacterial small subunit ribosomal RNA", at positions 28 to 507 of the family's 1533-position model. The record is from RNAcentral.
GAUGAACGCUGACAGAAUGCUUAACACAUGCAAGUCAACUUGAACUUCGGUUUGGGUGGCGGACGGGUGAGUAACGCGUACAGAACUUGCCUCACAGAUAGGGACAACAUUUGGAAACGAAUGCUAAUACCUGAUAUUAUGAUUUUAGGGCAUCCUAGGAUUAUGAAAGCUAUAUGCGCUGUGAGAGAGCUUUGCGUCCCAUUAGCUAGUUGGAGCGGUAACGGCUCACCAAGGCGAUGAUGGGUAGCCGGCCUGAGAGGGUGAUCGGCCACAAGGGGACUGAGACACGGCCCUUACUCCUACGGGAGGCAGCAGUGGGGAAUAUUGGACAAUGGACCAAGAGUCUGAUCCAGCAAUUCUGUGUGCACGAUGAAGUUUUUCGGAAUGUAAAGUGCUUUCAGUUGGGAAGAAAAAAAUGACGGUACCAACAGAAGAAGUGACGGCUAAAUACGUG